Molecule: long non-coding RNA, 360 nt
Filed under: Manihot esculenta (cassava)
Lineage: Eukaryota; Viridiplantae; Streptophyta; Magnoliopsida; Malpighiales; Euphorbiaceae
Description: long non-coding RNA (MESC_LNC012156)
Source: RNAcentral
GAGGAAAACAACACAUGCAUCAUGGCAUUGCACAUCAUCAGCAGAUAGACAGGACUAACAUCCUAUCCUAGUGCACAUGUUUUCCUAUUAUGCUUGACCCACUAAUCCUCUAUGAGCCUAACUCUAUCUAUCUAGGUCCGACCAUGUGAACCUAGGGCUCUGAUACCAAUUUGUAACAGCCCGGAAACCGAACUGCUACUGGCACUAGGAUCCAGAUCGACUUAAGGUCGCCGGGACCCGUAGUAAGCCUGUUAUACUGUCUGUGUACCUGUGACAUCCCAUACAUGAUCAUACAUUUUCUUUCAAAACAUUAAAACUUUUCUUUUCUCCAGGGCUUAACCUGUGCAUGCACUAUUUCUG